RNAcentral lists this ribosomal RNA (253 nucleotides) under uncultured bacterium. RNAcentral's name for it is "partial 16S ribosomal RNA". It matches the Rfam family "Bacterial small subunit ribosomal RNA", at positions 524 to 776 of the family's 1533-position model. The record is from RNAcentral.
UACGUAGGCAGCGAGCGUUGUUCGGAAUUACUGGGCGUAAAGAGUGUGUAGGCGGUGCUCUAAGUUCGGUGUGAAAUCUCCCGGCUUAACUGGGAGGGUGCGCCGGAAACUGGAAUGCUCGAACGUGGGAGAGGAAAGCGGAAUUCCUGGUGUAGCGGUGAAAUGCGUAGAUAUCAGGAGGAACACCUGCGGUGUAGACGGCUUUCUGGACCAUUGUUGACGCUGAGACACGAAAGCGUGGGUAGCAAACAGG